AGGAUAAACGCUGGCGGCGUGCCUAACACAUGCAAGUCGAACGCGCUUUUUUCGCAAGAGGAGAGCGAGUGGCGGACGGGUGAGUAACACAUGGGUACCUACCUUGGAGUGAGGGAUACCGGCGAGAAAUCGCCGACAAUACCGCAUACGCUUCUCUUCACCGGGAAGCAAAGUUGCGCAAGCGACGCUCUGAGAUGGGCCUGUGGCCGAUUAGCUAGUUGGUGGGGUAACGGCCUACCAAGGCGACGAUCGGUAGC
Molecule: ribosomal RNA, 257 nt
Filed under: uncultured bacterium
Lineage: Bacteria
Description: partial small subunit ribosomal RNA
Rfam family: Bacterial small subunit ribosomal RNA
Source: RNAcentral